This 341-nucleotide long non-coding RNA is filed under the name Rattus norvegicus (Norway rat). RNAcentral describes it as "long non-coding RNA NONRATT010112". Lineage: Eukaryota; Metazoa; Chordata; Mammalia; Rodentia; Muridae. The record is from RNAcentral.
UCUUUUAGAUGCACCCACUAGGCCUAUGUAAUAACAAUGACGAAGAGGACUUGUACGAAUAUGGCUGGGUAGGAGUGGUGAAGCUCGAACAGCCAGAAUUGGACCCCAAACCAUGUCUCACUGUCCUGGGCAAGGCCAAGAGAGCAGUUCAGCGGGGAGCUACUGCCGUUAUCUUUGACGUAUCUGAAAACCCAGAAGCCAUCGACCAGCUAAACCAAGGCUCUGAAGACCCCCUUAAGAGGCCAGUGGUGUAUGUGAAGGGUGCAGAUGCUGUCAAGCUGAUGAACAUUGUCAACAAGCAGAAAGUAGCUCGAGCAAGGAUCCAGCACCUCCCUCCUCGA